This 946-nucleotide ribosomal RNA is filed under the name Hexagonia sp. (in: basidiomycete fungi). RNAcentral describes it as "Hexagonia sp. (in: Fungi) partial large subunit ribosomal RNA". It matches the Rfam family "Eukaryotic large subunit ribosomal RNA", at positions 34 to 967 of the family's 3401-position model. The record is from RNAcentral. Lineage: Eukaryota; Fungi; Basidiomycota; Agaricomycetes; Polyporales; Polyporaceae.
CUAGCAUAUCAAUAAGCGGAGGAAAAGAAACUAACAAGGAUUCCCCUAGUAACUGCGAGUGAAGCGGGAAAAGCUCAAAUUUAAAAUCUGGCGGUCUUUGGCCCGUCCGAGUUGUAGUCUGGAGAAGUGCUUUCCGCGCUGGACCGUGUAUAAGUCUCUUGGAACAGAGCGUCAUAGAGGGUGAGAAUCCCGUCUUUGACACGGACUACCAGUGCUUUGUGAUGCGCUCUCAAAGAGUCGAGUUGUUUGGGAAUGCAGCUCAAAAUGGGUGGUAAAUUCCAUCUAAAGCUAAAUAUUGGCGAGAGACCGAUAGCGAACAAGUACCGUGAGGGAAAGAUGAAAAGCACUUUGGAAAGAGAGUUAAACAGUACGUGAAAUUGCUGAAAGGGAAACGCUUGAAGUCAGUCGCGUCUGCCGGAACUCAGCCUUGCUUUUGCUUGGUGCACUUUCCGGUUGACGGGCCAGCAUCGAUUUUGACCGACGGAAAAGGGCUGGGGAAAUGUGGCACCCUCGGGUGUGUUAUAGUCUCUAGUCGCAUACGCCGGUUGGGAUCGAGGAUCGCAGCGCGCCGCAAGGCAGGGGUUCGCCCACUUUCGCGCUUAGGAUGCUGGCAUAAUGGCUUUAAACGACCCGUCUUGAAACACGGACCAAGGAGUCUAACAUGCCUGCGAGUGUUUGGGUGGAAAACCCGAGCGCGUAAUGAAAGUGAAAGUUGAGACCUCUGUCGUGGAGGGCAUCGACGCCCGGACCUGACGUUCUCUGACGGAUCCGCGGUAGAGCAUGUAUGUUGGGACCCGAAAGAUGGUGAACUAUGCCUGAAUAGGGUGAAGCCAGAGGAAACUCUGGUGGAGGCUCGUAGCGAUUCUGACGUGCAAAUCGAUCGUCAAAUUUGGGUAUAGGGGCGAAAGACUAAUCGAACCAUCUAGUAGCUGGUUCCUGCCGAAUU